AACGCACAUUGCGCCCCCUGGCAUUCCGGGGGGCACGCCUGUCCGAGCGCCAUCGCACACCUCGAGCCGCGUGCUCGCAGUUGGGCGCCGCCCCCCGGGGCGCGCCCCGAACAGAUAGGCGGCGCCGCCGGCCCCGGACGCAACGAGCUUCGGCCCGCGCCCGCGACCGGCUGCUGCCGCCCGCCCCACCGCAGAAGGCCUCGGAUCAGGCGGGGAUACCCGCUGAACUUAA
Molecule: unclassified non-coding RNA, 232 nt
Filed under: uncultured fungus
Lineage: Eukaryota; Fungi
Description: partial contains 5.8S ribosomal RNA, internal transcribed spacer 2, and large subunit ribosomal RNA
Source: RNAcentral